CCUACGGGCUGCAGCAGUGGGGAAUAUUGGGCAAUGGGCGCAAGCCUGACCCAGCAACGCCGCGUGAAGGAAGACGGCUUUCGGGUUGUAAACUUCUUUUGUCAGGGACGAAGCAAGUGACGGUACCUGACGAAUAAGCCACGGCUAACUACGUGCCAGCAGCCGCGGUAAUACUUAGGUGGCAAGCGUUCUCCGGAUUUAUAGGGUGUAAAGGGCGUUUAGGCGGGAAUGCAAGUCAGAUGUGAAAACUAUGGGUCCACCCCAUAGCCUGCAUUUGAAACUGUAUUUCUUGAGUGCUGGAGAGGCAAUCGGAAUUCCGUGUGUAGCGGUGAAAUGCGUAGAUAUACGGAGGAACACCAGUGGCGAAGGCGGAUUGCUGGACAGUAACUGACGCUGAGGCGCGAAAGCGUGGGGAGCAAACAGGAUUAGAUACCCUAGUAGUC
Molecule: ribosomal RNA, 443 nt
Filed under: uncultured bacterium
Lineage: Bacteria
Description: partial 16S ribosomal RNA
Rfam family: Bacterial small subunit ribosomal RNA
Source: RNAcentral